AACGUAACGAGCCGAAGCAACUUUACUUUUUUUUUUUACUUUUCCAAAGUAACGUCCCCGGUUCUGAUCCGGGUCCUGCACGUGGGUUGGGAAAGCUGAGGAUGCCCGGAGGCGCCGCAGAUGGAGGCGUUUUCUUGGAACGUAACGAGCUGAAGCAACUUUACUUUUUUUUCACUUUUCCAAAGUAACGUCCCCAGCUCUGAUCCGGGCCCCUGCACUUGGGUUGGGAAAGCUGAGGAUGCCCGGGGGGAGCCGCGGCCGCUCGGAGCGGCUUUCCCUCCGACCGGGCGCUGCAGCGUCUAAGCGGACCCUAAAGCGCCUGCCGUCUGAGGCCAGCCCAGCCUAACCAGCCAGCCAGCCAGCUUGCCUGCCUGCCUCUGCGCGCCCUGCUGGGACUCACAUCCGGGGUUGGGUUGGGCUAAGGGAGAAACGUAACGAACCCGGAAAAAAAAAAAAGAAAAGAGGGAGCGAGCGGAGCGCUGCGCGCAGCGAGCUUGGCGCGGUCUCCAUCCCGCAGCAGCCCCGAGGGCGAUGUUCCAGGCCAGCCGCCGGACCACCCUUCGCCACCGGCCCGAGGAGAGGCCGCGAGGGG
RNAcentral lists this long non-coding RNA (592 nucleotides) under Pogona vitticeps (central bearded dragon). Its description in RNAcentral is "lncRNA (ENSPVIG00000020178.1)". The record is from RNAcentral. Lineage: Eukaryota; Metazoa; Chordata; Lepidosauria; Squamata; Agamidae.